UACGGAGGGGGCUAGCGUUGUUCGGAAUUACUGGGCGUAAAGCGCGCGUAGGCGGCUUUGCAAGUUAGAGGUGAAAGCCCAGGGCUCAACCCUGGAACUGCCUUUAAAACUGCAUCGCUAGAACGUCGGAGAGGUAAGUGGAAUUCCGAGUGUAGAGGUGAAAUUCGUAGAUAUUCGGAAGAACACCAGUGGCGAAGGCGACUUACUGGACGACUGUUGACGCUGAGGUGCGAAAGCGUGGGGAGCAAACAGG
RNAcentral lists this ribosomal RNA (253 nucleotides) under uncultured bacterium. RNAcentral describes it as "partial 16S ribosomal RNA". It matches the Rfam family "Bacterial small subunit ribosomal RNA", at positions 524 to 776 of the family's 1533-position model. The record is from RNAcentral.